RNAcentral lists this ribosomal RNA (274 nucleotides) under uncultured bacterium. Its description in RNAcentral is "partial 16S ribosomal RNA". It matches the Rfam family "Bacterial small subunit ribosomal RNA", at positions 523 to 796 of the family's 1533-position model. The record is from RNAcentral.
AUACGGAGGGUGCAAGCGUUACUCGGAAUCACUGGGCGUAAAGCGCGCGCAGGCGGUCUUUUAAGUUGGAUGUGAAAGCCUACGGCUCAACCGUAGAACUGCAUCCAAAACUAUUAGACUAGAGUGUGGGAGAGGAAGAUGGAAUUAGUUGUGUAGGGGUAAAAUCCGUAGAGAUAACUAGGAAUACUAAAAGCGAAGGCAAUCUUCUGGAACACUACUGACGCUGAGGCGCGAAAGCGUGGGGAGCAAACAGGAUUAGAAACCCUAGUAGUCC